RNAcentral lists this ribosomal RNA (497 nucleotides) under uncultured bacterium. RNAcentral describes it as "partial 16S ribosomal RNA". It matches the Rfam family "Bacterial small subunit ribosomal RNA", at positions 28 to 507 of the family's 1533-position model. The record is from RNAcentral.
GACGAACGCUGGCGGCGUGCCUAAUACAUGCAAGUAGAACGCUGAAGCUUGGUGCUUGCACCGAGCGGAUGAGUUGCGAACGGGUGAGUAACGCGUAGGUAACCUGCCUGGUAGCGGGGGAUAACUAUUGGAAACGAUAGCUAAUACCGCAUAACAGUAGAUAUCGCAUGAUAGCUACUUGAAAGGUGCAAAUGCACCACUACCAGAUGGACCUGCGUUGUAUUAGCUAGUUGGUGAGGUAACGGCUCACCAAGGCAACGAUACAUAGCCGACCUGAGAGGGUGAUCAGCCACACUGGGACUGAGACACGGCCCAGACUCCUACGGGAGGCAGCAGUAGGGAAUCUUCGGCAAUGGACGGAAGUCUGACCGAGCAACGCCGCGUGAGUGAAGAAGGUUUUCGGAUCGUAAAGCUCUGUUGUAAGAGAAGAACGAGUGUGAGAGUGGAAAGUUCACACUGUGACGGUAUCUUACCAGAAAGGGACGGCUAACUACGUG